This 425-nucleotide ribosomal RNA is filed under the name uncultured bacterium. Its description in RNAcentral is "partial 16S ribosomal RNA". It matches the Rfam family "Bacterial small subunit ribosomal RNA", at positions 354 to 796 of the family's 1533-position model. The record is from RNAcentral.
GUGGGGAAUCUUGCGCAAUGGGCGAAAGCCUGACGCAGCCAUGCCGCGUGAAUGAUGAAGGUCUUAGGAUUGUAAAAUUCUUUCACCGGGGACGAUAAUGACGGUACCCGGAGAAGAAGCUCCGGCUAACUUCGUGCCAGCAGCCGCGGUAAUACGAAGGGGGCUAGCGUUGCUCGGAAUUACUGGGCGUAAAGGGCGCGUAGGCGGACAGCUUAGUCAGAGGUGAAAGCCCAGGGCUCAACCUUGGAAUUGCCUUUGAUACUGGCUGUCUUGAGUUUGGGAGAGGUGAGUGGAACUCCGAGUGUAGAGGUGAAAUUCGUAGAUAUUCGGAAGAACACCGGUGGCGAAGGCGACUCACUGGCCCAAUACUGACGCUGAGGCGCGAAAGCGUGGGGAGCAAACAGGAUUAGAUACCCCAGUAGUCC